AGUGAACGCUGGCGGCAUGCCUAACACAUGCAAGUCGAACGGCAACACAGCAUCGGCUUGCUCCGACGGGUGGAGAGGGGCGGAAGACAGCGGAAUACACCGGAACUUACUUUUUAGUGGGGCGAAACGUAGGGUAAUAUACCAUACGAUCUCCUAAGAACUGCGGGGGAAAGCAAGGGAUUGUGGGGUCUUGCGGGACGAUGGCAGACUAGGUAGUUGGAGGGGUAAAGGCUGACCAAGGCGACGAUCUGUAGCUGGUCUGAGAGGAUGAUCAGCCACACUGGAACUGAGACACGGUCCAGACUCCUACGGGAGGCAGCAGUGGGGAAUAUUGGACAAUGGGCGCAAGCCUGAUCCAGCCAUGCCGCGUGGGGGAUGAAGGCCUUCGGGUUGUAAAGUGCUUUUGUUCGGAAAGAAAAGCAGUCUUUUAAUACAGGGCGGUCAUGACGGUACCGUAAGAAUAAGCACCGGCUAACUACGUG
Molecule: ribosomal RNA, 482 nt
Filed under: uncultured bacterium
Lineage: Bacteria
Description: partial 16S ribosomal RNA
Rfam family: Bacterial small subunit ribosomal RNA
Source: RNAcentral